UNUGACUUGAGUGCAGAAGGGGAGAGUGGAAUUCCAUGUGUAGCGGUGAAAUGCGUAGAUAUAUGGAGGAACACCAGUGGCGAAAGCGGCUCUCUGGUCUGUCACUGACGCUGAGGCUCGAAAGCGUGGGUAGCGAACAGGAUUAGAUACCCUGGUAGUCCACGCCGUAAACGAUGAGUGCUAGGUGUUAGGCCUUUCCGGGGCUUAGUGCCGGAGCUAACGCAAUAAGCACUCCGCCUGGGGAGUACGACCGCAAGGUUGAAACUCAAAGGAAUUGACGGGGGCCCGCACAAGCGGUGGAGCAUGUGGUUUAAUUCGAAGCAACGCGAAGAACCUUACCAGGUCUUGACAUCCCGAUGCUAUUCUUAGAGAUAGGAAGUUACUUCGGUACAUCGGAGACAGGUGGUGCAUGGUUGUCGUCAGCUCGUGUCGUGAGAUGUUGGGUUAAGUCCCGCAACGAGCGCAACCCUUAUUGUUAGUUGCCAUCAUUGAGUUGGGCACUCUAGCGAGACUGCCGGUAAUAAACCGGAGGAAGGUGGGGAUGACGUCAAAUCAUCAUGCCCCUUAUGACCUGGGCUACACACGUGCUACAAUGGUCGGUACAACGAGUUGCGAGCCGGUGACGGCAAGCUAAUCUCUGAAAGCCGAUCUCAGUUCGGAUUGGAGGCUGCAACUCGCCUCCAUGAAGUCGGAAUCGCUAGUAAUCGCGGAUCAGCACGCCGCGGUGAAUACGUUCCCGGGCCUUGUACACACCGCCCGUCACACCACGAGAGUUUGUAACACCCGAAGUCGGUGAGGUAACCUUUUAGGGGCCAGCCGCCUAAGGUNGGA
This 831-nucleotide ribosomal RNA is filed under the name uncultured bacterium. RNAcentral describes it as "bacterial SSU rRNA". It matches the Rfam family "Bacterial small subunit ribosomal RNA", at positions 636 to 1467 of the family's 1533-position model. The record is from RNAcentral.